Molecule: ribosomal RNA, 238 nt
Filed under: uncultured bacterium
Lineage: Bacteria
Description: partial 16S ribosomal RNA
Rfam family: Bacterial small subunit ribosomal RNA
Source: RNAcentral
GAUCCUGGCUCAGGAUGAACGCUAGCUACAGGCUUAACACAUGCAAGUCGAGGGGCAGCAUGAACUUAGCUUGCUAAGUUUGAUGGCGACCGGCGCACGGGUGAGUAACACGUAUCCAACCUGCCGAUGACUCGGGGAUAGCCUUUCGAAAGAAAGAUUAAUACCCGAUGGCAUAAUUCCUCCGCAUGGUAGAAUUAUUAAAGAAUUUCGGUCAUCGAUGGGGAUGCGUUCCAUUAGG